This 1155-nucleotide long non-coding RNA is filed under the name Sus scrofa (pig). RNAcentral describes it as "lncRNA (ENSSSCG00035012574.1)". The record is from RNAcentral. Lineage: Eukaryota; Metazoa; Chordata; Mammalia; Artiodactyla; Suidae.
GAUCUCUACCCUCUUUUGAUUUUUCACCUGAAGUUUUGGAAGAGAUGUACACAUCAUUGCCAUCUUGUCCAUUCUGUAGUUGAUAAGAAACAAAAGUAUAACUACUGGGUAGGCAAAGCAGACAACAGAACGUAUAGACCCAUUAAAUAUUAAAAAUGAUGUCCUGACAUAACUUUUUAAAGUUCCAACUGAGCAAUUUUCAAUGCACAGAGCAAAGAAAAUCUUUCCCCGUGUUGAAUAACCCAAGAUAACUGUUGGAAAGAACACAGCUCCUGUAUCUCUGGAAUCAAUGGUCUACGGAGUGGAAAGGCAUCACGAAAGAAGGUCCCACAGGGUGUGAAAAGUCCAGGAACAAAUGUUGAGAUUGCUUAAGCAGGGGUCCUAUAUUCUGAGGAUAUCACUGAAUGAUUUCUGAUUCUGGUAUGAGUAUCCUGAAAAGCCAACUUGGUUGUUUUUUGAUUGGGGGGUUUUAAAAGAUGAUUUAGUGCGGUUGGUAUGGCUGAGGAGAGAAGUCAUCACUUCUUUUUAUGGCAUUCCUUCUGAGUGCUUAGCACUCCAUGUUUAGGAGAAUAUGUUUCUCAUGUACUGGAAGAGAUGAGACAUACACAUAUGAAACAGUGAACAAAAUAGCUUGAACAUGAGCAUCACAAUAUGGUGGAAAGAUACAACAGAAACUGGCACAACAAUGUAAAUCAACGAUGCUUUAGUAAAUAUUUUUAAAAAAACUAAUGUGGUGGAAAGAGUAUGAAGUUCAAAGUCAGACCUAAUAGUUUUCAAAAGCUGCUGCUUCUUCCUACCAAAUACACGAUUUUAGGCAAAUUAUUAACCUUGUGAGCCUCUCUCUUUUAGUUUUAUCUGAGGAAAAAAAUGAAGCUAUGGAUAGCUUUUUCCCCCAGUAUGUUACGAUUAAAAAGAAAAUGGAAAUUAAAAGAAAACUUGAGCGAUAAUAGUUUCUGCAGGAUUCUGACUCCCAGCCAGAAUAACUCAAAAGGUCUCUGCUUUCAGCAACAGAGUCUACUGCCAACUCCUGUAUCCACAUCUGCAAAAUCAAGGGUGUAAGGAGUGGAAUCCUGGCACUUAACAAAUGUCCCAGAAUUCUUUAGAUUUCUCAAAUUAAGAAAAUCCCACCUGAGUCAAAAGGUACACAUUUCCAGU